Molecule: ribosomal RNA, 253 nt
Filed under: uncultured bacterium
Lineage: Bacteria
Description: partial 16S ribosomal RNA
Rfam family: Bacterial small subunit ribosomal RNA
Source: RNAcentral
UACGUAGGGUGCGAGCGUUAAUCGGAAUUACUGGGCGUAAAGCGUGCGUAGGCGGUUCCUCAAGUCCGUUGUGAAAGCCCCGGGCUCAACCUGGGAAUGGCAGUGGAAACUAGGGGACUGGAAUCUGGCAGAGGGGGGUGGAAUGCCGCGUGUAGCAGUGAAAUGCGUAGAUAUGCGGAGGAACACCGAUGGCGAAGGCAAUCCCCUGGACCUGUACUGACGCUCAUGCACGAAAGCGUGGGGAGCAAACAGG